CUGGUUUGGCCAAGCAUGCCCCCUGCUCCCAUCACUUACCGACUUUUCCUGAUGUUUCUUCCCAGCCCCAGUUCCCUCCUCCCUCCAUUGUAAAGAUCCCCAUGGAACCCGUCCAGUCAGAUCCCCAAAACGGUGUCCAUUGCAUUGCCAGAAAAAGAGCUUCCAGCUGGAGUUAUUCCCUCUGACUCCUUCCUCAGUGAUUCUGACGCAGAUCGAAGCAUCACCUUACACUUGAAGAUUUCCUGCCCGCCUUCACCUGCCUUCAACUACUCCCGGAGUCUAGGGUUUCCAAUGCCACAAGUGAAGAUUGAGAUGGAGUCGGACCACGAGCAUGAGCACGGAGACAGAGAGAAGCGUCCCAGAGACGGUGGCAACGAAACCACCCUGUAGCCUCUGGUCUUCUGCAGCCCCCACCUCCCCCUGGCCAGCGAGGAGCGGGCUGGGGCCUGGCCGUCUCACACACACUCACUCUCUCUCUCUCUUUCUCUCUCUCUCUCUCACACACACACACACACACACACACACACACACACACACACACUCACUCUCACACACUGUGAUUCUCUAGAAAUACAGAUUAUCCCCCUUUGACACGCCCCAGCCCACUGUCACCCAAGCCUCCACUUCCCCCUCCCACCCAUCCCCAAGUCCCACAGGAAAGACAAGCAACAGUGUAGCUCUUCAUAACUUAGGGAUAGAACCUAGAACCGCAGACGUGGUAGAUCGCCACGGCCCCCUUCUUGCUGCUCGGCCUUGCUUGCUUGGGAUCUCCUUCACUUGGCAUUCCCUGCCUCGGUUUCCAAAUCCCUGACAGAAAUCCAGACCUCCUCAUCAGGGGCAUGCUAAUGCAUCCCCUCCUGAGGGACCAACUACUGCAUCUGGAGAGGUCAGAGCUGGGACAGAACCUGACAAAGCCAUCCGUGAGCUCUCCGGGAAGAGGACAGAAACGUAGCCACAAAAUCUCACAAGGGUCCCAUCUGCUAAUCCUGCAGGACUUCGAGACCCGCAGGUGGCCUUCUCUCCCCUAAGAUGUGACACAGUAAAUGGCCCAUUCCUGUCCCAAACCCCCCUGAGUCCCCAAGGAUAAAGGCUCACUCCCUAAACUUGCCCUGUCCAUGACUGACGAUCCCCAGGCCCUUCAUGACCAUCAGAGCCUUGCUUCCUGAGCACAAUGCUUGCCCUAACUAUACUCCAACCAGACAGAGGAACAGGCAGCUCUGAAGGAAGUGGAAGGCCUUACUGUCUGAGCCAGCUUACACCCACCCAGCCCUGCUUCUCAGUAAAAAGGUCGGUCCCAAGCUUGGUGCCUUUUUAAACCUCAAAGAUGCAGGCUCUGCUCUGGAAAGGACACAAGCUGAUGGACAGGGAGUGCAAAAACCUCAUCUCGGUCCCAAAAUCAAAAACAGGCGGCCCUGCGGGUUCCUCAGUUUCCCCAUUCAUGACACGGACCACUGGCUCCUAAAUCAUGUGCCCCGGACCCAUUCCAAAGGCCCACUAAGCAGUGAUUGCACCACAAGGUACGUGGGCCUUCCGGCCGAGACUAGAAUCAUACCUACAAGUAGCAUCUCGUAGGGAACUGUGAAAGCCAACAUUCAGGAGCGCUCGCGCUCCAAAAGUCGGUCAUCCCACUUGUGGAGAGUCUAAACCCCAAGACCUUUCCUUCCCUAAGCAGAGGACAGAAAACGAGGGGUCCCCUUGGUCUUUAACACCGGCUGGCCAAGAAAGUGCCUGAACUCAGGUGCGCAGGCAAAGGAUGGCCCGGGAACUCUGGCCGGAAAGCUGCUUCCUAAAAUGACAGCUGGAAGGCAAUAGGGAAGGACCCAAUACAUGAACCCCUGAAAGUCCAAGCUUGUCUGUCCCUCCCCUGCCCCCCAUCCCUAGCUAAGAGGUCUGGGCAGGCGUUCAGGGCUCCCUGCGAUCCAGCCCGUCAGCAAUAAUCACGGCUGGCCCCGAUGUAGCAACCAAAAGGCUUUCCUGCACUUCCCACCUGUCACCUCGCCCAAUCCUCGCGGCUUCCGGAGGCAGGUUCUGUCUGUGCGCCCAUUGCCCGGAUGGAAAAGCAGCUUCUGCUAUGGCCAGAGGGGCCUUCCUGGUCAGAGGCUGCAUUCGAAGCCAUUUUCCUGACUCUGAGUCCAACGCUGUUGACACCUUAAUUUUGCCUCUCACUUUUGGAGCUCCAUGUGUUGUUGGUAAAACAGAUACUUUGGAACUGACUGUUAAUAGUGUUUUGUUUUGUUUUUUUAAUUUCUGAGUUAAGAAAAACUGGCAUUUAUUAACUUGUAGUUUUAGAACUCACUAUUUCAAAUAAAAAAGACGUCUUUUACAUGAACAGUC
Molecule: long non-coding RNA, 2334 nt
Filed under: Sarcophilus harrisii (Tasmanian devil)
Lineage: Eukaryota; Metazoa; Chordata; Mammalia; Dasyuromorphia; Dasyuridae
Description: lncRNA (ENSSHAG00000024259.1)
Source: RNAcentral